Apis cerana (Asiatic honeybee) is the source of this 784-nucleotide long non-coding RNA. RefSeq lists it as uncharacterized. Lineage: Eukaryota; Metazoa; Arthropoda; Insecta; Hymenoptera; Apidae. The record is from RefSeq and is a predicted model, not a curated record.
AUUUGAACUCAUCUUCGCAUACCACGUGCUCUGCAAACUUGACGUGAAGUUUGUUCUCCGGACGGAAGAUUUGAACGUAUUGAGGAACGUUUGGUGCAAAAUCUUUCACUGCCCACGAUCUAUUAUCCAUCAUUCGAAUAUUGCGGUUUUGUCAGCGUAAUUCCUUGCAGCAAGAACGAAACAAGCCUCUGCCUCGUUCAUUCUUGCCCUGGUGAGAUCACUAUCCUUCAAACAGGAUCCUUGGAUAUAGAUUACCCUUUGUGCCCAAAUGGGCACUUGAAGAAUCAUUCUCAUCGUGGUGUCCAACUCCAUGGGUGACAACAAUACAACAAUUAUUUGUAUCGUUAUUAUAUUGAUUAUGUCUUAUGGAGCGUUCAAAUACUAUCGAGAACAUAUUAAACUUGAUUUUGUGAAUUUCGAAAAUGUUAAACAAAGAGGAGUGGAGAAAUUGAAAGAUAAAUAUUGGUGAAAAAUAAUUAUUACACGAUCAAAUUUCUCACCUGUAGAAGGGGAUGGGCGUAAAAUUCAUUUAGAAAAUCCAUGAUAGUGUCGGCUUGCAGCGUUGUACUGCAUACCACCACGUGUUUCUCGCUUUGCGCUCGGUGCGAGGAAUAUGAGCCACCUAGUUUUUGCCUUUCCAUCCACGUGAAUGCCAACUGCUCGAACUAUCGCAUAAAAAUAAAUGAUUUCUUCGUAUUGUUUAUUUAUUAGCCAUUUCUUUGUCAAAAUUGCUGUUUGUUUUUCGAAUUAGAUAAUAAAAUAAAGAUUUAUUAUUUUAUUUUAA